UGUAAUAUUUUUUAAAUGUGCAGAUGACAUAAAGCUAAUUGAGAAUGUGUGUUGUGAGGGAGACAUGAAGUUGUUUCAAAAAGAUUUGGACAAGAUUGUUACAUGGUUCUCCUUCAUUUGAGUCAUGCGCAUUCCACAUGAUCAUAAUUGAAAUGUUGAGCUGUCCGUGGAAAGUCUCAAACAGCAAACCUCACUUCAGCUGAAUAUAUCAAUGAUCACAUCCAUAUCAGAAAGUCUCCUGUCUCCUCUCAUGUAUAGAUUUGCAGAAUUCUUUGAAGAUGGAGGGAGACUAACUGUUCAGGCCGUAACUGUUGCUGUGACAAUCUUUGCCUGCUGUUGCUGCACAGAUAGCUGCAAGGUUCAUGUGCUGGAAAAAUGUCCUAAAAUGUACCUCUCUACAAGGUAGUUCAAAUUGACAGCAUUUCCUCUUCAAUGCUUUUAUUCUGUAAGAGGUAAAGGAACAAUAUGUAAUCAAUGUAUUCAGAAAUACUGUGUAGGAAUGGAAUAUAGUUUCUUUUGCUGAGGAAAAUGAUAGUGAUUAUGUGUCUCAAGUUUAAAUUGAUGUAACUUGCGUUAUUAUGUUAUACACAUCAGGUGAAAAUAA
Molecule: non-coding RNA, 604 nt
Organism: Chiloscyllium plagiosum (whitespotted bambooshark)
Lineage: Eukaryota; Metazoa; Chordata; Chondrichthyes; Orectolobiformes; Hemiscylliidae
Source: RefSeq, a predicted model, not a curated record